GUGAGACCGUGAGAGGCUGAGAGCGAGUUGGGUCGUCCCCUUCCCCUCGAGCCCACUCUCCUCUCCGGCGCCGCCAGCCAUCCUCCCCGUCCCGCGCCUUCUCCUCCCCACCGUCCGCUCCCUCCCAAAGAAGCAGCAGCCCCCGCCCGUCGCCCAAGAGCCGAAGCCCGCCACCAAGCAAUCGCUCCCUCUCUUCUUCCUCCUGCCUCACCUCUCUCUCUCCCCCUCCAAACCCUAGCCCCGCACCAGCCUCCCUGCCCCGCCGCCGUCAUCUCCUUCGCCCGGUCGGCCGCCGCCGCACCGCACGAGGUGGGAUGCGAGGAGGCAGGCGAGCAGGGGCAGGGGACCAGCGGAGACGCGCGGGUGAGCAGGAUAGCUACGCGACGGAGCUGAACGGGACCUCGGACGGAACUGCGUGCCUGUGCCGGGAGCACGGGCAGACAAUUGGAGACGACGAGGAGGGCUUCUACGGCGUACUCCAGCUCCGGCGAGGCUCCGGUAAGUCCCUCCACUCAUCCACAUCCCAUCCUCUCUUCCUCACCCCGUCCUAUCUCCCUCCCAGAUCUACCACGCAGCUAUGUAGUUCGCUCAGUCGCCCGGACGCCGACGCCAUGGAGGACGCCCCUCCACCCCUGCUCUAGCCUGAAGGUGUUGAUUGCCAUUGUGCAAUUUGAUUCAGUUUUAAAAUAAUGCACGUCUUGGUUUGGUUCAGUUUGAACGUAUGUGCAAUCAAUUGAUUUGAAGUAGAGCUGGAUUCAUGGUGAGAAAUGGAUUUAAAAAUAGAGUUGGAUCCAUUGUUGUGACUUUCUUGUGCAGCAGAGUUGGAUCUUUUUACUCACAACAUUUCUUUUGCUCCGAUUCAGGUUCAUUCUUGUGUAUUAUUCUUUACUAUCAAGUCUGAAGUUAGUGGUUCUUGAGUGAGCUGCGUAAGCUACUACCGUCUGUUAUCUGCUCCAUCUGUGUGCUGGUGAACAAGUUAAUUAAGAUCUAAAUGUGUUGUCCCAGAUCCAGAUGGGUUGGUUUUGAGUUAUUGUUUGGGUUAGAAAAUUUUCAAACCAUGCAUCUGUUAACAUUUAGAGAAAACUACAUGUGUUUAUUUUGGGUUGUAGUUUAGAGAGCACUUCCAUGUUGCCGUGAAUGCUGGGUGCUGCUCUGCCAUGCUUAUUUGUCUCAUUUUGCUUUGUUCUUUUUUGCUUAUAUGGUGAUCUCCUUUUUCCUUAUGUUAGCAGUGAGUUAUUUCUGUUUUUCUGGUUUUCCAUUGCUCCUAAAAUGUACAUCGAAAUCAGUGUGGCUGUAUUCAGAGAGAUGAGCUACUAUGUAGACAUUAUUUGUUUUUGUUAUGUACUUGGUUACUUAAUAAUCAUUCUUGAUAUUGAAAAGGGACAGAAAUAAGCUGAGUAUUGGACCUGACUGAGUAGUGUUUGCUGGUUAACACAUCUAUGUUACUGGACCUGUUCUUUUUUCUUCCCACAGUUUGUCAUCUAAAAUGAAUUAACCUCGGAAGAGGAUUACUCUUCCUCGUUCUGGGCUAGGAAUUCGUUGCUAUGUGAUGCAUCGUUUGGUCCUACUCCAGUGUUGUUUUGCCUUCUUUUACUCAGCUCAUGUUGCGUUUGGCUUGGAGACUACUGAAAUGAAAAUGUGUUGGAGCGAUUAUGUGUUGUAGGUAAAGAAACAAAUUUUCAUUUCUUUUGGCUUGCUAUUAAUUGUCACUUGCGUACACAUGAUUAGGUUGGUCACGGAUUUGUGCAGAUAGCUAGCAUUGCUAAUAUUGUGUGUUGCUCCAGAAAUAGAUCAAGUGAUACUUUAAUUUUUGUUUGUCUAAUGAUUUUUUUGUUACUUCCUUUUGAAUGCUUAGCCAUGUCGUGUUUCACUCAUGUGGAACUCAAGAUUCGAUAGUAGCGCAUAACUCAUGAUUUGACAAGCAGUUAAAUUCCUAUAUUUUAGUAUAUCUUAUUAUCUUUCUUAUUUCUGUUCCUGAACUGAACUUCGCCAUUUUCUACAAAAUUAUAAGAGCAAUGAUGGUUUGGACAAAUGAUUAUGGUUGCUUAUUUAUUUUCUUGGUGCUAGAUUACUAAUGUAGAGAAAUAUAAUUAUAUGAUUUUACCAUUAUUAUCAGAUGAGGAAGUGAUAGGUUCGUAAAAUGACAAUAGUUACCUAUCUCUCAUCUCUACUGUAUUCAUGUAAAUGCCCAUGUCUUUUUCCAUUAUUUUCAGUUGAUAUGUUCUUCACUGGACACAAAUCAUUCUUACUAUACUAUCAGAUAUUAAUAGCACAUGCUCUUUUGAGGGAAAUGGGGAUGUCACUAUCUUUUGGUCUUCUGCCCAGAAAUCUUUAGACAUUACUCUGUUCCAUACACUAAGAAGUUUGAAGUGUGCUGGUUGCCACUCGCGCUGCUGCUCUGCUUGGAGGCGUCGUCGUCGACUGGAGGAGCGCCAAAUCGUUGUCCUCGAGUUCGUGCACUUCAGGAAGAAGACGGCUCGAGGUGAAACGUCACGCAUCCGUCGUGCGGAGGUAGAGCUUGACAUAUAGGUUAGUGUGUGUGCAGCAGCUCUAGAGGGACCAAGGUCGAGGUAGCCACUGCUCCUGUCGAGGCUAGCCUGCCGUAGGGACGAAUCAGGUCCCUAGACCCUUAUGAGCCCUAAUUUUCAUGGAGCAAGGUGCAUCUUGCCGCUUUUGCUUUUGGUAAAAAGGAAUCCCUAUUGUUAUGUUGGUAGCCUCUUUGCAAGUUUAUUCUGCCUUUUUGACAUUUUUUGUUCUAUCUUGCUAUGCAUUGCAUCAUAUUACAGCUGUGUGCUCAAACCAACUGAGCUUAAUUCACAUAUAUAGAUAUUUAAGAAUGUGGGGAUGAUGCCCAAUUGGCAAGGUUUGCAAUAUUGUAGGAACCAUUUGGAGAUGAGUUGUAGAUAUUAAGCUAUGUAGGAGAUGAUUUUGAGGUAACAAGCCUUCAGCUUGCUUUCUGUUAACCUUUUUAUGCAUGGGUUCAGUUUGAUGCAAUCUAGGCAUUGUUUGUUGUCGAAUGGAUUAUUUUUUCCUACUAGGUAACAUCUGAUGCUUGGAAUGCAUUAUUUCUGAUGGCCCAGAAAAAAACUCUUUGUACAUAUUGUUUUGUUUAGAUGCAUACAAGAUGCAUGUUUAUGCCUCAUACCUGCUGAUUUAUAUGACUGAGGAACUCUCUUUCUUCCUAGAUGUGCCCAUAUGCUCUUCAUUGAUAUAGCAUCUUCUUACUUGUAUAUUAUUCACAUAUAGCAUCUCAUUUCUUGGUUGAUUGCUUAUAUAUAUUCAACUUCUCUUUCCUGGCAUUCACAUAUUACAAGCUAAAUAAAGUUUGUCAUUCCUUCUGGCCACUUAUAGAUGUAACUAGAAGCAUGGAUGAUCUGUGAUGCUGGCAAUUUUCAGAUUGCACCCAUUUAAUUAUAGCACACUAUAUCACAUUUGUGGUAAAUUUAGAAAAGCUUGUGCGUACCCUUUUAGUAGUCAAUAUGGUUCAGAUGCAGUAUUUUUUAUUUCCUUUUUUUGCUUUCAGCACACACAUAUGGCAUUGAAGUUCUUUAUCAUGUAUGUAGGCAGAUUAGUUGUGUCACUUACUGAUGCUCUUAUGGUACACAGUACACUAUUAGGGUGUUGGGCCCAGAAAAAGGAAGGUAAUCCUCUUCCAAGUAAAUGAAGCCCAUAGGUGGAGGAAUUUGGAUGAUCUGUAGUCAAAGGAUACCAUCAAGCAAGCGGACGCACAAGGAGGGUCGCCCCGGAGUAGAGGUAGAGGACGUUGCCAGCUGCAUCUCUCUCUGACCUGAAGCCCACCUUGGCAUGGAUGUGAUCAGCGUUGAUCCCCAACAUUGGCAAGCAUUGAUGGAAAUGUUCCUCGACACAAUGACGAACAUCAACCUAGGAACAACCUUUUUAUUUUAUUUUUUGUUGCCUCUACUGUAUUGUUACUGCCACAAAGAUUUACCUGGACAUGGAGCCAUCAUGAUGUGUUUAAAAAUGGUUACAUUAUCCUUUUUCUAACCUGAUGGUGUUAGAAACAUCUUAGCAUUCAAGCAGGUUUAGUUCAUUGUUUAUUAAUUCCAAUUAUGUAAAAAAUCACUGAUCAUCGCUUGACAGAAAAUAUUUUGAUAUGCCAUCAUGUGCAUGGGCGAAGAACCUGGAUGUUAUUUACAUGUUUUGGAUAAUUGAUGAUUCUUUUGAAUGAAAAAAAUAUCAGAUAAAAGAAAGCAUGUCAUAAUGCUUAUAGAUUGAAACUUUGGUUCCUUUUAAGAGGCCCACUUGGAUCCUGCCUUUCCAGUCUGCAUGAAUCUUCCUAAUUCGGCAAAGCCUUGAAACGUCGAUGCUUUUGUGUGACCUAAAUGAUAACUUUUGCAACACCCCAAACUGUAUGCUGCCUUAUAGUUUCAUGACGAUGUUGAACUACAUGUGAAUGUUUCUUCCUUUUAUUUUGUUAUAUCAUGUUUGAAUAGGUACGCUAAACUUGAUCCUACUAAAUUGAGCAUUCACUACUUGGCCAUAGCGUUGUGACCGGCACCCUUGCGCCAAGGCGCGUUUCCGAUCUAGUUAAUAGUAAAGAAGGGAAAAGGGUGCGCUGAGGAAGGAUGAGAUGAGGCUAAUUACGUAAGAAAUAAAAAGAAAAAACGAGAAGCAAUGUCACAGCAACAAGGAAGGAAAGGGAUGGAAAGAGAAAGGAAAGAGGAGGCCUUCUAUAUGUAUAUGCGCCCUUGUAAAUAAGGAAGUAGAAGAGGACGUGGAGUUUCUGUGCACGAGCACAUAUGAGCCCGUUAUCCACAGCGUCGUGUAGCACAUGGGGAUCUGUGCGAGGUCGUUUUCCGUGGGAAUACGGGAGCGUUGAAAUUCCAUUUUUUGUAGUGUGUACGUAUGUGGUCGGCCUGGUAUGUGGGCCAGGCAAGCGAUCUCCGUCGUUUGUGUCCGUCGGCCGUCACCGGGAUUUUCCUGAUCCGUGGAUCAGGACGCUCGAUGUGGUCUUGGUCCAUAGACCAGGAAAUUUGCUUUUCCUCCUCAGGCCGGUACGCUGUUUCUGGAGGCGAGUUCGUGCCCAGGGGAAGGGCUCAAUUUCUCGGCGAUGAAGUUUCUCAUGCAGCCAAUUAGCAGAAUCUCCUUGAUUGAGGAGGUUGACGAGAGCACUACACCCAUGGAUCUGGUGGCGUGCGGCACAGGAGGUGUAGUUCCACUUGCCGCGGACGUCUCCGUGCCUGUCAUGAACGCGGACGCCAGAUCCGUGAGGGAGAAGCGGCUGGUGAGAUCAGGCCUGAAGCGUCAUCGCAGGCAUCCGAGCUCUCCACCGGCAAGAUGAGCCCGCAGACCCCUGGUUGGACUAAAAGGUGUGCGCCGCAAUCAAGGUGAGGAUUGGAGCAGCGGCGUCUUGCUGGACAUCGUGCCCCUCGCGUGUGACUGCGUUCGAGAAAUCAGUAAGAGGUUUUGUAGAGAACCCUACAGAAAAUAUCAUUGUGCCGGCCAUUGGGACAAGUUUUGAUUCGCUCUGGGAGGCGUAUGACUUCUACAACCUAUAUUCAUGAGAGAAAGGGUUUGGGAUAAGAUAGGGCAAGAGCAGGUUUAAUGUUGAGAGGACUAAAUGCAUGCAGGAGAUUGUCCGUGGGUGUUUGGGUAAAGCAGGAGUCGAGAACAUCAGGUCAUGUCGCUGCAAGUGUCUCGUGCUCAUAAGACGAGGACAAUUGAUGGUACAUUGCAGAGCACAGGGAGAGCCGCAAGCGCAACCACUUGUUGUCGCCACAUUUCGGAGAGACGAUUCACUGGCCAUCCCAUAAGCACAUUGAUGUUUACAGUCAGACACAAAACUUGCAUCACAAAACAUACGGAGGAAGAGCGUACGGAAAAAUGGUGUGGUUUAUCAUACGAGGUGACAAUGUUGGACGGCUGUGAAGUGUUUGAGUGAGAAGGCGGUCAGUUUGCACACGUGGGGCUGCAUGUCUUGAAGGUAAAGAUGAUAUGCAGAAUUUAUUCCUUUUGGAUCUGUGUUGUCGGCGGGAGCUUCAUUCAGGCCACUAGUCAAGCAACAAGCACCGGGAGGACUACAGUGAUGUGAUGAAGGACUGGGAGGGCUUGGUCAUAUUCUCUGCAUGUGCUAACUUGAAGUGGUGCGAGGAGGUUUUGAAGAAGCCAAAUCGUGUGCUGUUCUAAGUCGAAUUACCUUACUUGCUGAUCGCUAUACUGGGUCUUUGCUGCAUGAAACUGAUUUUUCUAUAAUAUGGCAGUCAAAUCAGAGACAUCAAGGACAUCAUGCCUGACACAAUAAUGAAGUAGCCCAUGAAGUUGCUAGCUGUGCAAAGGAGUCGAGGAGAUAUGUAUCUCCAAGCAGGGCUUGCCAGAGAGGAGAACAUGUCAGGUGAUACCGUCUUUCUGGUGAUACAAUGCUCGGAUGCAUCCUGGACUGCUGGACCACUAGAUUGUGUUCGAAUGGAUGUGAUGAAUGCACACUUGAUGAACAGUUCCUCCACCAUGAAAUAUACAGAACACACCCUGGAUCAUGUUCUUCAUUGAGAGUGAGGCCCUUUCCUACUACUAGUAUAACCAGCGUCAAGUUUCAUUGGUUGUCAAAAAUAAGGGCUCUGUUUCACUUUGUGAAGACACUCAAACCAAAUAUUCCUCUUGCUAUUUUUCCAUCUCCAUAUGAAACUAUGAACAUAUUUUAUUUUUCCUAGUGCUAAAGUUUGAACAAGAUAAAUCCACUAUUUUUUUGGUACUUUGUACUUGGAUACUAACAAACUGUUUGGUAUGUUAAUUCCAUAAACUAAUUUUAGAAAUAUUAUCAGGGUGUUUUUGUUAUAUUUCGCAUUGGAGGAGCUCCAGUCACGUGUGCCUUCAUUAUGAUCUUGGAGCAUUGUAUCAUCAGAGAGGUCGUAUCACCUGAUAUGUUCUCAAGAGGAGAGUUAUGCAGACCCAUUGUAAUGAUUGUAACCCGCCCCUUGAUAAUAUUUAAGUUCUCA
Long non-coding RNA from Triticum aestivum (bread wheat), 6953 nucleotides. RefSeq lists it as uncharacterized. The transcript is spliced from 9 exons. NCBI's taxonomy places the organism in Eukaryota, Viridiplantae, Streptophyta, Magnoliopsida, Poales, Poaceae. The record is from RefSeq and is a predicted model, not a curated record.